RNAcentral lists this ribosomal RNA (744 nucleotides) under Ditylenchus destructor. Its description in RNAcentral is "eukaryotic LSU rRNA". The stretch from base 303 to 455 matches the Rfam family "5.8S ribosomal RNA". Lineage: Eukaryota; Metazoa; Nematoda; Chromadorea; Rhabditida; Anguinidae. The record is from RNAcentral.
GUGAACCUGCUGCCGGAUCAUUAACGAUCAUACCAAUCCACUUUCAGUGGUUAUAUUAGUCCUCAAAGGUGGCAUGCUUCUGCCAUGCAGGCACAGGGUAGUUGUCCCGCUCUGUGCCUGGCUAAUUUGUGGGCGAAAAACGGCUUUGUUGGCCUCUAAGUCUCCCUGAGCAGUUGUAUGCUUCUUUGUCCGUGGCUGUGAUGAAGGGAAACGGUACGUGGUUUUCGUAAUCGCGAGAGUUAAUGAGCAUGGUGCCGCCAACACAAAACCCCAAUUUUACAAAUUUUUCAAGAGAAUAUUUUUAGUCUUAUCGGUGGAUCACUCGGCUCGUAGAUCGAUGAAGAACGCAGCCAACUGCGAUAAUUAGUGCGAACUGCAGAUAUUUUGAGCACUAAAGUUUCGAAUGCACAUUGCGCCAUUGGAUUUUAUCCUUUGGCACGUCUGAUUCAGGGUCGUAAAUACAAAACCCCAAGCUAAUGGUGGUGAUAUGACCUGUGCGGACCGCUGUCUCUUUGGCCUAGCACGUGUUUCUUGUGCAGCCUCUUGGCCAAUUUUGACAGCGCUCCCACUCGAGAUAAUGCUGUCCAGUGUUUGGUGACAUUGCUGUAAGUCCUAGCGAUUCUUAUGGACGUAAGGCUUUGAAGCCAAACGCAGAGUAGUCGAUUUUUCGACCUGAAUCUGACGUGAUUACCCGCUGAACUUAAGCAUAUCAGUAAGCGGAGGAAAAGAAACUAACAAGGAUUC